UGUCCAGGGAUGGGAAUCGAACCCACAUUGUUCCGCUUACUGGGCAGAUGCCAUAUCCACUAAGCUAUACUGGAC
Molecule: transfer RNA, 75 nt
Filed under: Cordylochernes scorpioides
Lineage: Eukaryota; Metazoa; Arthropoda; Arachnida; Pseudoscorpiones; Chernetidae
Description: tRNA-Thr
Source: RNAcentral